This is a long non-coding RNA of Chelonia mydas (Green sea turtle), 584 nucleotides long. RefSeq lists it as uncharacterized. Lineage: Eukaryota; Metazoa; Chordata; Testudines; Cheloniidae. The record is from RefSeq and is a predicted model, not a curated record. The transcript has 3 exons.
AGAUCAAAGCCCAUUUCUCUGGAGUAAUUUGUCUAUCCAAAUCCUUUUCCCAUUGUGUCACAUAUGGACAGGGGUGAAAGUAACUUAAAGGACUUACCGUGUUAUCUGGGAGGAUUUUAGAAAGAUUUUUGAAACAAGAAAGAUUCUUGGCAAAACUUUCAUUUUGACUAUGGCCUUUUUUCACAACUAAGAAAUUCCAUACUUCCUCCAGCAGUCCACAUCUUUUUAACUUUGAAGUACUCAAGUGGAUGGAGGCUCAUGCUUCUAGCACUGAAAGGCCAGGCAAUGACUCAUGAUGACAGGCUGUCAUUAAGCCAUCCUGAUGGUAACAGAUGACCUCCUCCCCUCCUCAAAAUUGGGGCCAGCCAUUUUAGCGAGACAUGUCCUCUUCCCUGUUCUUUAAUACCAGCCUGAUGAUGAGGCCCGCCCACCACAAUCCUCUUCCCUUACAGACCUUUUGUCAGUCAUCUAUACUUCCUGAGAGAUUACCCAUUCCCACUUUCUACUGAUGAAACCCCUGCCCACAAUGUCACCAAGCACCCUAGCCCACUUCUUCUCUCCCCUUCCACCCCCGUAUACCUAAG